Molecule: ribosomal RNA, 253 nt
Filed under: uncultured bacterium
Lineage: Bacteria
Description: partial 16S ribosomal RNA
Rfam family: Bacterial small subunit ribosomal RNA
Source: RNAcentral
UACGAAGGGGGCUAGCGUUGUUCGGAUUUACUGGGCGUAAAGCGCACGUAGGCGGAUCGUUAAGUCGGGGGGGAAAUCCUGGAGCUCAACUCCAGAACUGCCUUCGAUACUGGCGAUCUUGAGUCCGGAAGAGGUGAGUGGAACUCCUAGUGUAGAGGUGGAAUUCGUAGAUAUUAGGAAGAACACCAGUGGCGAAGGCGGCUCACUGGUCCGGUACUGACGCUGAGGUGCGAAAGCGUGGGGAGCAAACAGG